GUACAACUUCGGUCAUACAUAUUCUAAAAUUGGAACGAUACAGAGAAGAUUAGCAUGGCCCCUGCGCAAGGAUGACACGCAAAAAUCGCAAAUUUAAUAAGAGAUG
This is a small nuclear RNA of Centruroides sculpturatus (bark scorpion), 106 nucleotides long. The record is from RefSeq and is a predicted model, not a curated record. Lineage: Eukaryota; Metazoa; Arthropoda; Arachnida; Scorpiones; Buthidae.